This 1082-nucleotide long non-coding RNA is filed under the name Piliocolobus tephrosceles (Ugandan red Colobus). RNAcentral describes it as "lncRNA (ENSPTEG00000038273.1)". The record is from RNAcentral. Lineage: Eukaryota; Metazoa; Chordata; Mammalia; Primates; Cercopithecidae.
GAGGUAGAUGAAUUUUAAGUCAAUAAGUCAUCUUGUCUCAAUAGUAAGCCAAAAACUUUCCUGGAAAUCUAGCAAAACAACAGUUCUAUGACCAGCCUUAUGUUUUGUUGCAUGUGUGCAUAAAAAAUGCAGAUUGACUCUUUCCUUUUCUGUUUUAGAAUUGGUUCCAAACAGUAAAGCCUGCCAGAAAAAACAGACAAACUCUCAGGAACAACAAUGCCCAUUAUGUGUGGAGUAGAAGCUGCCAGACUUUGAUUACUGGCCAGACAUUAACCCCUUUGGUGUCUUAGGAGGGAAAAUGCCAAGUCUGAAUCCAGACGUUUCCAGGACUUUACAGUCAUUCAUGGUGUGAGACCAGGUCCACUGAUUGCAUUUUGAGAGCUCAGAUAAGCAGAGAGCAAUGCAAUUUGUCACGGAAGGAUGAUUAUGUAUAUGCACUGUUAUGUGUAUGUAUAUACAGUAUGUGUAUAUAUGCGUAUGUAUAUAUAGUAUGUGUAUUUCAUUUGUUCUUUUACCAUAUCCUUCAAUAUGUAUUUACUGAUGAUUUAUUAUGAGAGGCUGAGAAUAUCAAGUUAAUUAUAAUUAAUUAUAAUAAUAACUACUCUUUAUUAUGAAUAUAUUGCAUAUCAACAUUAUGCCAAAUAUUUUACAUAUAUAUAUUUCAGUUACCUAAAAACCUUUAUGAAAUAGCCCCAUUUUAUGCAUUAGUAAACCAAGAUCCAGAAAACUCAAGGGCAUGCAGCUAGUUAAUGUCAGAGCUAGGAUUCGCAUUCAGAUCUGUCUGAUGCAAAACCCAUUUCCUUAUUCACUUUGUUAAAUUGCCUUCCCAAAGAUGAAUGACAUGAUACAAAGGCAUUUACCUACUUUAUUGGAAUUCACAUUCUGGUUGGCGAAAAAGGCAUAUGAUGCAGAACAUAAAAGGCUAUAAUACAACUAUAUACAAAAUACCAUGAUUAACUCAUUCUCUUAUGGGAUGGGAGAAGGUGGGAGAGGAUAGAAGAAGGCCUCAUAGGGCAAGUCGUGGUUGAGCUAUGCCUCUGGGGUGUGGGAUAUUCACUCAGCAGAGAGAGAAAAGGUAGGGG